CAAGCUGGAACGGCUGCUAAGACCCCAUAUGCCGAGAGGUGAAAAAGAUUUCUGCCUAAGGAAGAGCUCGCGGCUGAUUAGCUAGUUGGUAGGAUAAAAGACUACCAAGGCAACGAUCAGUAGCUGGUUUGAGAGGACGAUCAGCCACACUGGGACUGAGACACGGCCCAGACUCCUACGGGAGGCAGCAGUGGGGAAUCUUCUGCAAUGGGCGAAAGCCUGACAGAGCAAUACCGCGUGAGGGAUAAAAGCCUGAGGGUCGUAAACCUCUUUUUUCAGGGAAGAAAUUUGACGGUACCUGAAGAAUAAGCAUCGGCUAACUCCGUGCCAGCAGCCGCGGUAAUACGGAGGAUGCAAGCGUUAUCCGGAAUCACUGGGCGUAAAGCGUCUGUAGGUGGCUUUUCAAGUCUGCUGUUAAGACUGAGGCUUACCUCAGAAAACAGUGGAAACUGACAAGCUAGAUAUGGUAGGGGUAAAGGGAAUUCCCAGUGUAGCGGUGAAUGCGUAUUAUCGGGAAGAACACCUGUGGCGAAGCGCUUUACUGGACUAUUGCUGACACUGAGAGACGAAGCUAGGGUAGCAAAUGGGAUAGAUACCCCAAAGUC
Molecule: ribosomal RNA, 605 nt
Filed under: uncultured Cyanidium sp.
Lineage: Eukaryota; Rhodophyta; Bangiophyceae; Cyanidiales; Cyanidiaceae
Description: SSU rRNA
Rfam family: Bacterial small subunit ribosomal RNA
Source: RNAcentral